CACGGUCCAGACUCCUACGGGAGGCAGCAGUGGGGAAUAUUGCACAAUGGGCGCAAGCCUGAUGCAGCCAUGCCGCGUGUAUGAAGAAGGCCUUCGGGUUGUAAAGUACUUUCAGCGGGGAGGAAGGUGUUGAGGUUAAUAACCUCGGCAAUUGACGUUACCCGCAGAAGAAGCACCGGCUAACUCCGUGCCAGCAGCCGCGGUAAUACGGAGGGUGCAAGCGUUAAUCGGAAUUACUGGGCGUAAAGCGCACGCAGGCGGUCUGUCAAGUCGGAUG
This 277-nucleotide ribosomal RNA is filed under the name Enterobacter hormaechei. RNAcentral describes it as "partial 16S ribosomal RNA". It matches the Rfam family "Bacterial small subunit ribosomal RNA", at positions 325 to 594 of the family's 1533-position model. The record is from RNAcentral. Lineage: Bacteria; Pseudomonadati; Pseudomonadota; Gammaproteobacteria; Enterobacterales; Enterobacteriaceae.